UCUUAAGGAUUAUGUACCACAAUUCAUCAAAAUUAUACUACAUUGUCAUACUAGUCAAACUCAUGUAAGUUUAACUUCCAAAUUAUGCAUAUUCCAUACCAUGCUUCAACAACUUUCAUGUUUAUUCACUAUCAUGUACAAAAUAACACCUUAACAACCUAGAUACAUGCCAUUUUACCAAAAGAAAAGUAUUCACCACUUUGAGUCCGAGAUUGGCUUGGAUGCUGAGUCCUUAGCUUUCUUUCGUACCUAGUCCUGCGCACUGAAACAUACUGUAUGCUGAGUAUACACUUAGUGGUAUUUCUAUAAACUAAUACUUAAAAUAAUAAUAAACCAUGUAUAUACAUUGUAACUUAAAGCCUUUUACAUUCAUUAGUUAAGCAAUUCAAAUAUAUAUGUAUAUAUUUAUAUAUUUCUUAUCACUCGAUAUCUUUCAACCUCGUAUACCAGUCACAGUUACAUAAUCAAUAGUAAACAGUCUUCAGUACUUUCAUUUACCCCUAUUAACAUAACUCGGACCUAAACGGAUACGCGGAUCCAACCCACACACCGGGGAUAAUAUACAGUGUUUCAUCGGCCGAAACCGGAAUACACCGUAGGGUAACAGUAACAGUAACAGUCAUAGUCAAGUACGAAGUACCUCUUCGGAACAAAUCCGGAAUAGUCACAGUAGUCGACACAUAUAGUGUCUCAUCGACACACAGUCGGAAUAUCCCUGAACACUUCCAAUUCUAUGGCAUGCCAAUUGUAUCCGACUAGCCCGACACUGUUAAUAGGGUAUUCAAAUCAUUUCAUUUCAAUACAGAAGUAGUAAUAGUUUCCAUCAUAUCAUUCAUUAUACAUUCUAAUUAUUAAAAAUAACAAUUACAUUGUAUUAAAUCAUUAAGCAUAGUUUAUAGAAAUACAAACCAAAAUUCUCGAGUUUAAUCGAUAUCCUUGUUCACUUUCUCCUUUCCCUUUUUUGAUGACAUUUCCGGUGCUACAUUGACUACAUAAAAUUUAACAUUUAAAAUUAUCAAUAUAUGUUGUUUAAUAACACACUCUUUUAUUUUCAUGUAACUUUACUAUAUUUCCAAUUAGGUCCUAUCACCAUAACCAUUCUUUUUCUUCAAAUAACCUUAUAUGUAGCACCCCAAACCCGGCCCAGAAGUUAUGGCCGGAUCCGGCAUGCCACAUCAAAAACGUUAAAAAAAAUUCCAUUCUAAGUCCAGAAAAUCGUACUUGAUGUUCAAAAGAUUAAUUCAUUAAGGGUUAAAGUGAAUGGAAGCAGUGCACCAGGUAGGAAACCGGAAAAGAGGUGGUGAGUCUAUCGGACUGCUUAAGUACCAAGCUCCCUUCGGAUCCAAUCCUAGACAUGCAUACUGUCAUUGCCACACCUUAACGUCAUGGAUAUUUCUAGGAAACCGAUUUGAUUAAGUCAUUUUUAGGAAAAGUGAUUAAUUUUGGAAAAUACUUUCAUUGAGGAAGCUUUGCUUGUUGUCGUGUUAUUUUGAAAUCAACUGUUGUUUUUGAAAACGCGCCCUAAAGCUAUCCAAUUUCAACAGUUAAAAUAAGUAUUACCUAUCUUAGUAAUACAUAUUAAAAACCAUCAAAAAUAAAUAAGUGGCCUUAUUACAUUUAAAAGCCCAAAACCUCAAACGUAAUUAAAAGGAUAUCCAGUUCACCAGAAGAAAAUCAAACUUUCAGAACGGGUGGCCACUCCGAAUUCCCUCACAGCUCCAAGCCCACUAUGGUUGGGGAUUACCUGCGUGGAUGAAAAUAAAAGGGAUGAGUUUGGGGAAAAUCAGUGUGUAAAAUAACCCAACCAUAGUCUAAAUCAGCUCAACCCACAGAAACAGAAUAAGUUGGCCUUAGCCCAGAACAAAAUUCAGAAUAAAGCCCAUAGGCCCAUAACAGAACAGAAUAGAUAUUACAUGAUUAUGCAGAAACCCAACCAUAUCCAACCGUAUACACCCCCGUACCAACCUUACACCGUGUGGGGAGACAACUCGACCCACCCAACCACUACACACCACAGAAUUUACAGCAUGGCUGCCAGAACAGAUAAUGUGACAGAGUCACCAGAUACAGAUAAUCGUGGCAGAGCCACCAGAACAGAUAUAUGUGGCAGAGCCACCAGAUCAGAUAUUUUUUGCAUAGCCACCAGAACGCUUCCUCCAUAAUGUACCCAUGUCCCCAUGCAACAGAUAUAUAAUCAUGGCAUACAUCAUACAGAAUCAGAUCGUCAUGCUUUUCAGUCAAAAUUAACCCUAGGGGUAUAACAGUAAUUUUCCAUACAUAGGGGUAUUAUAGUAAUUUAGCUCCUUUUAUGGUUUUCAUGCAUAUCCUAACUAUUUACGUACUAUCAGAACACUUACCGCACAUACUUACUGAAUUGGGCCCGUUGGCCCAUGAACCCGAUCUUUGGCCCAUUAAGCCCAAAUUAUCAAAAUGUACGAAAUCGCGCGUACUGCAAUUUAUUACUUUAGAUUACCAAAUAUACAAACCCAACUAUCUUACGAGCAUUCGCACACUCGCAAAUUCCCAAAAUACUGACUUUUUGGCAUUUCGGCUUUUCGGCUUUUGCCAAUCUAGUCUAUGAGAGGGUGUCAGUUACACACCUGUUUGCGACGAUAUGCUGACGAGAUCCACACACGAACCGCCUACAAUUGGAUUACUAACACGUUAAUCUAACUAUUCAAAUACAAACUACGUAUUAACCCCUUACAAUAUUCGGCCUACCACACCUACAGAUCAUAGUAAGCUUAUAAGAAAUCAAUAAGCAACUCAUUAACAAAUUUUUGUCAAUGUUUACACAUAAUCGUAAUUUCACUGCAAGCUGUCUUCCUGAGCAACAGUCACUAAAUUAUUUAUAACUGGAGCUACGAAACUCCAAAUCAAGUGCCGUUAAUAUUCCCUGAAAAUAGACUCAUAUAUCUUUUAUCCAUAAAAUUUUCAGAAUUUUUGGUAUGGUCAAUCAAUACCAGAUUUUUCUUAAAGUUUCCCAUGUUUUACUGUUUGACUAAUCUGAACACUCUUCAUUACGAAUCAAAUUUCUCAUUGUAAAGAAUUCAAAAUAUGUUCUCGUUUAUUCCAUUUGAAACUAGACUCAUUAAGCUUUAAUUACAUAAUUUAUGCAGCUUCUAACUCAUCUCCCACAAUUUAUGGUGAUUUUCCAAAGUCACAUUACUGCUGCUGUCCCAAGCAGAUUUAUUACCAAAUCACUCUUUCACACCUAACUUGCAUGCUUGUUAUUUAAACAUGUAUAUCACCAAUCAAUCAUCACAUAUCUAUGAUUUUACUUAAGUAUAAUCUCCAUUUCAUCAUUUUAAAGCACAACAUGUUAGCCGAUUUUUCCCUUUAGCAUCUAAGGCACAUGCAUGCUCAUUUGUUUGGCUCAACUUCACCUAUCUUCCAUUUUUCAUCAAAAGAACAUGAAACAACAACCAUUUCCUUCAUUUUAAUUCAUGACUAAAUGCUCACAACACAUCUAAAACUUAAAAUAUACUUCAAGAGUUAAGGUAGAAUCAAGAAGAACUCAUGAACCUCAAAAUAGAAGCAAGGUACCAAGAACUUACCUUCAAUUUUCCUCCUCCUAAUGACCGAAUACUCAAGAGCUUUCUCCUCUCCUUUCUCUUCUCUAACUUUCAGCUAUGAUGAACAAAGAUGGACAAAACUUUGUUCUUUUC
RNAcentral lists this long non-coding RNA (3668 nucleotides) under Gossypium barbadense (sea-island cotton). RNAcentral describes it as "long non-coding RNA (GBAR_LNC008364)". The record is from RNAcentral. Lineage: Eukaryota; Viridiplantae; Streptophyta; Magnoliopsida; Malvales; Malvaceae.